AGAGUUUGAUCCUGGCUCAGAUUGAACGCUGGCGGCAGGCUUAACACAUGCAAGUCGAGCGGGGAAAGGUAGCUUGCUACUUGACCUAGCGGCGGACGGGUGAGUAACGCUUAGGAAUCUGCCUAUUAGUGGGGGACAACAUCUCGGAAGGGAUGCUAAUACCGCAUACGUCCUACGGGAGAAAGCAGGGGACCUUCGGGCCUUGCGCUAAUAGAUGAGCCUAAGUCGGAUUAGCUGGUUGGUGGGGUAAAGGCCUACCAAGGCGACGAUCUGUAGCGGGUCUGAGAGGAUGAUCCGCCACACUGGGACUGAGACACGGCCCAGACUCCUACGGGAGGCAGCAGUGGGGAAUAUUGGACAAUGGGGGGAACCCUGAUCCAGCCAUGCCGCGUGUGUGAAGAAGGCCUUUUGGUUGUAAAGCACUUUAAGCGAGGAGGAGGCUACCGAGAUUAAUACUCUUGGAUAGUGGACGUUACUCGCAGAAUAAGCACCGGCUAACUCUGUGCCAGCAGCCGCGGUAAUACAGAGGGUGCAAGCGUUAAUCGGAUUUACUGGGCGUAAAGCGCGCGUAGGUGGCCAAUUAAGUCAAAUGUGAAAUCCCCGAGCUUAACUUGGGAAUUGCAUUCGAUACUGGUUGGCUAGAGUAUGGGAGAGGAUGGUAGAAUUCCAGGUGUAGCGGUGAAAUGCGUAGAGAUCUGGAGGAAUACCGAUGGCGAAGGCAGCCAUCUGGCCUAAUACUGACACUGAGGUGCGAAAGCAUGGGGAGCAAACAGGAUUAGAUACCCUGGUAGUCC
Molecule: ribosomal RNA, 794 nt
Filed under: uncultured bacterium
Lineage: Bacteria
Description: bacterial SSU rRNA
Rfam family: Bacterial small subunit ribosomal RNA
Source: RNAcentral